Molecule: ribosomal RNA, 253 nt
Filed under: uncultured bacterium
Lineage: Bacteria
Description: partial 16S ribosomal RNA
Rfam family: Bacterial small subunit ribosomal RNA
Source: RNAcentral
UACAGAGGAGCCAAGCGUUGUCCGGAUUGACUGGGCGUAAAGCGCACGCAGGCGGUCUGGCGCGUGGGGUGGGAAAUCUGGCCGCUUAACGGCCAGGCGCCAUCCCAUACGGCUAGACUGGAGGGCUGCAGAGGUCGAUAGAAUUGCCGGUGUAGUGGUGAAAUGCGUAGAGAUCGGCAGGAACACCCAGGGGGAAACCAGUCGACUGGGCAGCACCUGACGCUGAGGUGCGAGAGCGUGGGGAGCGAACCGG